RNAcentral lists this ribosomal RNA (585 nucleotides) under Edwardsiella anguillarum. Its description in RNAcentral is "bacterial SSU rRNA". It matches the Rfam family "Bacterial small subunit ribosomal RNA", at positions 872 to 1457 of the family's 1533-position model. The record is from RNAcentral. Lineage: Bacteria; Pseudomonadati; Pseudomonadota; Gammaproteobacteria; Enterobacterales; Hafniaceae.
CCUGGGGAGUACGGCCGCAAGGUUAAAACUCAAAUGAAUUGACGGGGGCCCGCACAAGCGGUGGAGCAUGUGGUUUAAUUCGAUGCAACGCGAAGAACCUUACCUACUCUUGACAUCCAGCGAAUCCUGUAGAGAUACGGGAGUGCCUUCGGGAACGCUGAGACAGGUGCUGCAUGGCUGUCGUCAGCUCGUGUUGUGAAAUGUUGGGUUAAGUCCCGCAACGAGCGCAACCCUUAUCCUUUGUUGCCAGCGGUUCGGCCGGGAACUCAAAGGAGACUGCCAGUGAUAAACUGGAGGAAGGUGGGGAUGACGUCAAGUCAUCAUGGCCCUUACGAGUAGGGCUACACACGUGCUACAAUGGCGUAUACAAAGAGAAGCGACCUCACGAGAGCAAGCGGACCUCAUAAAGUACGUCGUAGUCCGGAUUGGAGUCUGCAACUCGACUCCAUGAAGUCGGAAUCGCUAGUAAUCGUGGAUCAGAAUGCCACGGUGAAUACGUUCCCGGGCCUUGUACACACCGCCCGUCACACCAUGGGAGUGGGUUGCAAAAGAAGUAGGUAGCUUAACCUUCGGGAGGGCGCUUAC